RNAcentral lists this ribosomal RNA (331 nucleotides) under uncultured bacterium. RNAcentral's name for it is "bacterial SSU rRNA". It matches the Rfam family "Bacterial small subunit ribosomal RNA", at positions 568 to 898 of the family's 1533-position model. The record is from RNAcentral.
CUCGUAGGUGGCUUUGUAAGUCGGAGGUGAAAUCCCACGGCUCAACCGUGGACACGCCUUCGAAACUGUGAAGCUUGAGGCUGGGAGAGGAAAUCGGAAUUCCUGGUGUAGCGGUGAAAUGCGUAGAUAUCAGGAGGAACACCGGUGGCGAAGGCGGAUUUCUGGACCAGUUCUGACACUGAUGAGCGAAAGCCAGGGGAGCAAACAGGAUUAGAUACCCUGGUAGUCCUGGCUGUAAACGAUGGGCACUAGGUGUGGGAGGAUCGACCCCUUCCGUGCCGCAGUUAACGCAUUAAGUGCCCCGCCUGGGGAGUACGACCGCAAGGUUGAA